CAAGCAAUUUUAGCUGAUGCAGCUGCAUUCCACUCAGCAAAACAUCAUAGUUACUACAGUUUAUUUGAUACCUACUGUGUGUCAGAUACCACAGUAAGCACGUUGGCUGAAUUGGCUAAUUUAAUCAUUAAAAGUAGUUUGAGGCAGGUAUUCUUGAUCUCAUUUACAUAUAAGGAAUAAAGCUAAAAAAAUAAAAAUCUUAUUACUUGUCCAAAGUGGCAGAGUUCACAGAGAGAGGUGGCACUUGCAGCCUAGACAUAUUCCCCCUGGCCACGUAGAACAGCUUAAGGCAUGGUCCCUAUCUUUAGGAAGUUUAUCAUAUUUUUAAGAAAGCAAGACAAGCACAAAAAUGGAAAUAUACCAUGAGCGCCUCUGCAAAGUGGGUAUGUUUCCGGAGAUAGCUGACUGAUGGACAAGGCGAGACAGGCUGAGACAUUGAUUCCCUCUACACCAUGAAAAUGUCCUUAUCUGUUAGCCAAGAGGCUCAGAAAUAUUCUCAUCAUCCAUCCCCUUUCUAUUCAGUGGCGCUCAUUUAAAUGCAGCCUGAUUUGUUGAUAACCAAUGAGUUGGCACCAGUGUGGAAUAAGGAAAUGUAGCAUUUAGGAAGAGGAAUCUGGUGCCAUGGGCAAGAUAGAUUUAGACAAAGAAUCUGGGGUUUGGGAGAUCAGUAAGGAGGAAGUUGUAAUCAUUAGAGUAUCAGGAGAUGGGUCUGGACUGAAGCGAUAGAUGUGGGAUGGAGAGGAAGACAUUGUAAAAGAACCAUAGAGAGUAAUUCGGACUGCGUUGUUUAUGAGGGAUGAAGAAGAACAAUGACCAGUGACAAGUGUUUGACAGUGGCGUGGUGGAAGGGCAGAGCUACAGCUGAAGAGGAAGGAGAUAUGCCAACUAUAACGUUCUACUUAGAUGAAAUAAUAGAGAACAGUGAACAGAGAGAUGAAGCCUCCUCACCCUGAAAAUGCUUAUCUUUGCCCAGAAGUGACUUCUAACUUCCUUAGACAGGGUCUGGGGUGUGACCUGGCUGUCAAUAUUCUCCAGCGACCUUCCCAGGCAAAAAGCCAGGAAGACCUACAUAAUUUUCACCAUUGCUCCAACUGAAAGACUUCCCCAGGUGCAGCCUGCCUCCAGAAUCUAAGGUGGGGUGUCAGAAGCCACAAGCUCCAAGUAAGCCUCUAUGCCCACUUGUUGACAGGUUUGAUCCAAUUUGGACACCAUGCUAACCCUCCAGAUGACCUCGAGAUCAUUACCAUCUGACUAUAAUAAAACACACACCUACUAGCACCUUGACAGAUCUGAUCAUGCAUAUUCAUGAGAAGAAAAAGGUGGCACUCUGAUUCCAGGAAGCCUCUUCCUCCCUACCAACCAAAACUCCAAGUCUUCUUGCUUCUUGGCCCGUUAAUUACCUUAACCCCAUGAAACCGUGACCAUGAGACCUAACUGGGGAGAAGGUACCUUUAGAGCAGGAGCUCCCUCUCCAUUCCCUGGUCAUUGAAUAAAUUACCUGCCUGCCAUCAAAUAUUGUCUGUGGUUUGGCUGUUUGGUGAACAGUAUUGAGUGGGAAAAGAACCUCUACUAUGGUAACACUGCAUGCUAAGCAAGUUGUUAAAGGAUGGGGCACAAGAAUGUUCAGGACAUUGUCCCUUCCCUCAAGGACCUACCAUACAGGUAGAGGAGACCAACACAUGUAACUGUCUCAGUUUUCCAUCACUCAAACUUGGGACUCUUUUGAGAAAGUGUAUCAGCUAGGCUGAAAGUUCACAUGUAAGCAAGUCAGAACCUUAUUCCUCUUUCAUGCAAUAGUUGGAGGUAGACAAUCCAGAGUUAAAAUGAUAGUUCCAUUCUGUGAGUCCUCUAGAGAAUGAGGAUUCCUCUCUGUUGACAUUCUACCAUCACUUGAAGAUUAAAUUCUAUCUACAUUUUAAGCAGUAGGAUGGACAAAGAGGAAAGAAAAUGCAUAUUGUUCUCCAUUUAAGGACACAUCUAGGAAGUUGUACACAUUACUUAUACUUACACCUCACUGACCAUUGUUAAUCCGAGGCUCAUACCUGGCUACAAGUGAGGCUACAAAACAUAGACACCAUGUGCCCAACUACAGAUCAGAGGUUCCAUUAUUGAACAAGAGAAAAGCAGCAUCAGUCUCUUCAACUGGGAGUUGGUGGUGGUAUGAAUCCGGUUUUGACACCCUUCUGAUUUGGAUAUCUCUACCCUUACCUUCCUCCAUAACUUAUUAGCACACUGUCUUCUGCCAGCCUUCUCUGAAGCUUUGGAGGAAAGACAACAUAUGGCAGAGAGUAUGUUGAACUCCAUGUUAAAUCUGACUUUUCCUAAAGCCCAGUAAAAAAUAUCACCCAAUAUUUUAAGCCCCUCCCUGGUUGGUUAAACAUGCAACUUUUGAUUUCAGCUCAGGUCAUGAUCUCAGGGUGAUAAGAUCAAGCCCUGAGAUGGGCAUGGAACCUGCUAAAGAGGCAUUAAGAAAAAAAAAGAUUUUAAGCCCUUCUCAGAUGCACUCCAGCUGCCAACCUUGUUCUACUGCCCCUAGAGUUCUCCUUACUCCAUGAGGGCACCUGCCUUUACAAGCUUCUACAGAACAAAUCAUCUCCUGAACUUCUGGAAAGCCCUACUCCUUCAUAAGAGUUGAUUUGGUCAUCUCAUUGUCCUCCAGGCUUGUCACUCUCCCUUUACCCCCAGACAAUGGAAUACAUUUUCUAAUCUAAGAAUCAUAUUUCUCCAAGUCUGAGUUAUGGAGGUUGUAGAUGAGGUGGUGGUGCUCAAGAACUAGGAUUGGAGUAGCUUUUGAAACACCUUGGGGGUACCCCUAAAAAAUUGAGUCUACUGAGCUCCACUGGUUUGCUCUCUUGCUCUCUCUCUGUCACUCUCUCUGUCCCUCUGUCUCUGUCUCUGCCCUUCCCCCUCCCACACACACUUCCUUCCAAGGGCAAACCUGAAUUCUCAGAGACCAAACAGCUUAACCAGUAGAUGCAAACUUGAUUACUUCUUGAGGGAAGUACAUGAAUGAGUGAAGCAUGUUAGAUGGAGAAUUUGGCCAAAUGUGCCAUAUGUACCUGUCCUAAUGAUGCGGCCCACAUCUAGCUCCUAAGGAUUCUGAUCAUAUGGGUCAACAUUUUCAUCUCCUGUGUUUUGUUUUUGUUUUUUUUGUACAAAGGACACUGGAAAUCAACCUUUUUUUUUUUUUUUUCCAGAUGACAAUUCCAGGUUUUCAAAAUCUUGGCACUGCAUUAAAAAAUGUAAACAUUGUAUAACAGAUCUACUGGGUUGGAUCCCACUUAAAUGCAACCAGGAGCCUCCAGUUUGAGACUUCUUUAGUGAGCACUGAAAGAAACAUUUCCUUAGCUGGUUUUGGUAGCACCACAGAUAGCAUUCAAAUUUUGGUGAGUGUCUAGCAUUAUCUUCCAGAGCAAUGUGAGUUCCUUCUUUCAUUUCUGUCUCUUCAAAAUGUACCUACUUGAGCAAAGUAAGUAAUACUCAAAAUGUACCUACUUGAGUAAUAAGGCAGGGAAUAAUUUCUAGCUAUAGACUUAUUAUGACUAUACCUUUAACUGCAAAGAUCGUGGGAGAACUUGUGGACUUACCACCUGCAGGAGCCUGAUUAAGUAAAUGGACAGGAUGUUACCCUACUCCUCAGUCUCUGUGUAGGAAGGGAUCAUUCUUUUUUCCCCUUUAGAUCAGGUGAUUACAAUAUGGUGUGGAAAACAGCUGGGGCAGCACUAUCUCCACAGCAUUCUGUCUUGGUCCCUAGAAAACUCUUAGCUUCCCACUAGGACUUCACC
RNAcentral lists this long non-coding RNA (3785 nucleotides) under Canis lupus familiaris (dog). RNAcentral describes it as "lncRNA (ENSCAFG00040015512.1)". The record is from RNAcentral. Lineage: Eukaryota; Metazoa; Chordata; Mammalia; Carnivora; Canidae.